UCUCAUCUUUACUCUAAAAAUCCUAAAAUCUUUAAAAUCUCUCUUCUCUAUCUCCAAGCGCCGCCACCCCUUGCCACACAUUUUCUCUCUCUUCUUAAUUCACCCAUAAACCCUAGAAUCUAUCAUAUCUAUCUUCCAUAUCUUCCAUCUUCAGCAGCCACUUCCUCCAUUUUUUCUUUCUUUUUAAUUUUUUAAUUUUUUAUGUUCAAAUCUCUCAGAUCUAUUUCCUUCUUGCUUUAAUCUGUCUCGCUCUUGCUCUAGACAAGCGUAGGGAAAAUAGAAGUUGUAAGAGUAGAUUUGAAGACGAGCGCCGAGAAAGUUGCAGUUUCGCUCUCGAUCUCGCUCUCGUUUUCACUCUCGCUCUCGAUCUCUUUCUCGUUUUCGGUCUCCAUCCAACAGGAGGACAAUCAUAGAUGGCAAAAAAGAAAAAAAGAAAAAAAAGAAGAAGAAUGGGCGGCUGAGGAAGAUGAGGAGAGAGAGAUAUAAGUUUUAGGGUAUUGUUAGUGAAUAAAGAAGAGAGAGAAAGUGAGUUUUGAGUUUUUCUAAUGAGUAAAGAAGAGAGAGAAAGAAGGUUUUAAGUUUUUUCAUGUAUGUAUUUAUUGUGUAUUCUAAAUAAAGAAGAGAGAAAGAUGAGAUUUUGAGAGAGAGUCUGGUAUAAGGAAAAGAUAGAGGGACUCAAUAAAAAAACUAAAAAGAAAUUAUUUUUAGA
This is a long non-coding RNA of Momordica charantia (bitter melon), 709 nucleotides long. RefSeq lists it as uncharacterized. The record is from RefSeq and is a predicted model, not a curated record. NCBI's taxonomy places the organism in Eukaryota, Viridiplantae, Streptophyta, Magnoliopsida, Cucurbitales, Cucurbitaceae.